Molecule: ribosomal RNA, 484 nt
Filed under: uncultured bacterium
Lineage: Bacteria
Description: partial 16S ribosomal RNA
Rfam family: Bacterial small subunit ribosomal RNA
Source: RNAcentral
AUUGAACGCUGGCGGCAGGCCUAACACAUGCAAGUCGAGCGGAUGAAGGGAGCUUGCUCCUGGAUUCAGCGGCGGACGGGUGAGUAAUGCCUAGGAAUCUGCCUGGUAGUGGGGGAUAACGUCCUGAAACGGGCGCUAAUACCGCAUACGUCCUGAGGGAGAAAGUGGGGGAUCUUCGGACCUCACGCUAUCAGAUGAGCCUAGGUCGGAUUAGCUAGUUGGUGGGGUAAAGGCCUACCCAGGCGACGAUCCGUAACUGGUCUGAGAGGAUGAUCAGUCACACGGGAACUGAGACACGGUCCAGACUCCUACGGGAGGCCACAGUGGGGAAUAUUGGACAAUGGGCGAAAGCCGGAUCCAGCAAUGCCGCGUGUGUGAAGAAGGUCUUCGGAUUGGAAAGCACUUUAGGUUGGGAGGAAGUGCAGUAAGUUAAUACCUUGCUGUUUUGACGUUACCAACAGAAUAAGCACCGGCUAACUUCGUG